CAAAAAUCCGCCAGGGAACUACGAGCCUAAGCUUAAAACCCAAAGGACUUGGCGGUGCUCCAAACCCACCUAGAGGAGCCUGUUCUGUAAUCGAUACCCCUCGCUAAACCUCACCACUUCUUGCCAAACCCGCCUAUAUACCACCGUCGCCAGCCCACCUCGUGAGAGAUUCUUAGUAGGCUUAAUGAUUUUUCAUCAACACGUCAGGUCAAGGUGUAGCAUAUGAAGUGGGAAGAAAUGGGCUACAUUUUCUAUACCUUAGAAUAAACGAAAGAUCUCUAUGAAACCAGAUCGGAAGGCGGAUUUAGCAGUAAAGAGAAACAAGAGAGUUCUCUUUAAAACGGCCCUGGAGCGCGCACACACCGCCCGUCACCCUCA
This 378-nucleotide ribosomal RNA is filed under the name Xenopus laevis (African clawed frog). RNAcentral describes it as "partial small subunit ribosomal RNA". It matches the Rfam family "Bacterial small subunit ribosomal RNA", at positions 862 to 1405 of the family's 1533-position model. Lineage: Eukaryota; Metazoa; Chordata; Amphibia; Anura; Pipidae. The record is from RNAcentral.